Molecule: long non-coding RNA, 371 nt
Organism: Engraulis encrasicolus (European anchovy)
Lineage: Eukaryota; Metazoa; Chordata; Actinopteri; Clupeiformes; Engraulidae
Exons: 5
Source: RefSeq, a predicted model, not a curated record
CAUUGAUGUGAAAGGCUUCCUUUACAGUACUGCGUAUAUAUACAGGCAGUGCCUCUCACACUGUGCUCAGUUUGAUAGUCUAUCAAUCAAAGAGAGCCACAAGGUUGACAAGUGAAAUCACUUACGGUUCAUUUGAAAACAGUGAAUCCAGGUGCAGAGAAAUCCAUAGAACAUGGAAAAUUCAUGUUCAUUGUGUCUUCUCAUGCUCACAUUCGGUGUGUGCACCAAUGCCCGGGAUGCAUUUUAUCCAUUUGGUUCAUCUGCAGGGGAUACUUUUAUGCCUGACGUAUACCACAAGAUAGUCCUGUCACAGCCACUCACUUACUUCAAUCACACGGUCCAGACAAUUUAUGUAAGCAUUGUUAAAUAUU